Molecule: non-coding RNA, 129 nt
Filed under: Hanseniaspora osmophila
Lineage: Eukaryota; Fungi; Ascomycota; Saccharomycetes; Saccharomycodales; Saccharomycodaceae
Description: Eukaryotic large subunit ribosomal RNA
Rfam family: Eukaryotic large subunit ribosomal RNA
Source: Rfam by way of RNAcentral
NNNNNUGAACUAUGCAUGAAUAGGGUGAAGCCAGAGGAAACUCUGGUGGAGGCUCGUUGCGGUUCUGACGUGAAAAUCGAUCGUGGAAUUUGGGUAUAGGGGCGAAAGACUAAUCGAACCAUCUAGUAG